Long non-coding RNA from Homo sapiens (human), 3989 nucleotides. RefSeq lists it as uncharacterized. The transcript is spliced from 3 exons. NCBI's taxonomy places the organism in Eukaryota, Metazoa, Chordata, Mammalia, Primates, Hominidae. The record is from RefSeq and is a predicted model, not a curated record.
AGAUGAUUGGAACACCUGGAGUAUAAGUGGAGUAAAGAGUACAGAAGAAAUGCCUCUGGCGGAAAAUUUGAAGCAGUUUCUGUGCAAGACUGGAGCUCACACAUGAAGCCAACUCUGAGGAAGUACAAAGUGUUGUCCCCAAUCCUCGUAAUAUCCAGCUUCUUUGGCAGCUUGCUCUGCCCAAAAGAAGAUAGGAGACAGACAGACAGACAAACACACAGGCAUACACACAGAUGCGCAGAUGGACAGACAAUAAACUUUUCCUGGGGAUGUGAAGGUAAGCAAACCAACAAAGUAAAGAUUUAUUUAAAAUGGCCCCCAUAAAGAAAGUAGAAUUUAUGAUGUGAUACUAUUAUGUAAAAGUAUAAAAAUUACUGAAAAAGUGGCCCAUAAAUAUGAAAAGAACAAAAAUAAAAUUUGCUCCAUUCCCUCAAGCCUGGCCAAAGCCUAUUUUCACCUCUUUUGCUCAAUUUUCUCCCAGUUCUGAAUAUAAAAGCCCAGAAAAUCAGGGAGAGAAGCUCUUUGGAGCUUAUCAGGGGUGGGAAGAGAAACUGAGUGGGCAGAACAAGAAUUGUUUUGAGAGUGUAGGGAAUGAGUGGGAACACCUCCUGCCUUUUGUCUAUCACAUGAGUGGAAGCACUUAAGGACAGCACAGAAUCACACUUUAUGUGUAUCACAGCCUUAGAGAGAUUGUGGCAGGUGUUGUACUGUUUCUCAGUUGAACACUUUGAAGCAGAGUUCAUUUGUAUAUUCAUGUAUCCAUCCAAAUAGUUUUGAGUGCAAGGCACUGUCCCUGUAUGUUAUUGGUGGUCACCAAUUACAUGGCAGUUCUUUGGCUGGUUAAUAACACCUUUAUCUCUACUAUAAAGAUGAUGAUGAUGAUGUGUAGUGUGUGUUCAAUUCUGUAUUAGACAUUGUAAGUUUCAAAUAUAUAUACACAUAUAUACUUUGUGACUGGAGAGCCCUAAAUAAGAGGGAAUACAGGAGGAGAAACUUUAAGAAACAGAAGUUGGGUUCUGGGGAGUGGUACAUGGUUCUAACAUUUCAGUGAGAAACAACUAAAAGUACUGUAAGAAUUUUAUCAAGGAUCUAUGAAGUUUAAUACAUCCCUACAGCUAAACUCUCUGAAUCUCUACCAAAAGCUCAAUUUGUUGGACAGUCACUGUUUGUUGAGGACCCCUAUCUUACAUAUCUUUCAUUUCCUUCCUAAUCCUCUCCUAGCCUAAUGUGAGCAGAUGCUUACUUGCUGUAGAACUUCAGAGCUACAGGUGGCUUUAAACACCAACACAGACAAACCCCUGAAUUGUAGAUGAAAAUUCAGGAACCUGUCUGGACCUUCAGAAUAGUUUCCUGAUUGACUGUUCAGCCUCUAGCUCCCCAGGUGGUAUGUAGCCCCUAUAUCCCUUCUAGCUUGGCUCAUGUGUGUUCAUCUGUCAAGUUUCAGGUGGGUGGCCCUAAAUGAACUGACUCCCUCCUGAGGCCCAAUCAAAGUUAGGUCUCCCUUCUAAUUCUCCAUCAAAGCACUCCUUGCAUAGCAUUUGCCACCACUUAAAAUUAAACUUUAAUUUUUGUGACUAUUUUAUAACAUCUAUCUUCUAACCAAGCUGUGAGUGCCAUGAAAGCGAGAAUUAGUCUGUUAAUUCAUCACCACAUCGCCAGUGCCUAGCAUAGCCCCAGCACAAAAGAGCUUGGUGAAUAUUUGUUGAGUAAAUAAGUGGUUGGAAGGCACACACCCGAGCUGUCUUUGUACAACACAAAUCUGUUUGUCUUUCUCCUGCCUAAAUUCCUUCUUUAGUUACUCACUUUUUAACAGUAAAGAAAAACAUGUUUUAGCCUGAUUAAAAAGAGCUACCACAAUUUGGCUUUUUGUCUAAGCUCCUCAGGUCCCUUCAGACCUCCAAGCCUUUGCAUAUGCUGUACCCUCAGAGAAAUGCCCUGCCUGCUGUUUCUGCCCAAGUGGGUAAGCACCUUCCCUUCCAUCACCUUCUUGGUGAAGCCCAGACUCUCCAAGAAAGGGCUAGUUGGUUGGUUCUUAAUGUUUCCACAGUGCUUUGUCAGUAUUUCUGUGAGAGUAGAAGGGUGGCAUACUUUCUUUCCCAAACUUGUCCCUGAAUUCCUUCCACUUCCCCCCAAGGCUGUUGUGAAUAAAGGAGUGGCCGAGGGUGACACGCAGCCAAUGGUUGGUCCACCAGCUGCCUCUGGCAGCUCCUUGUUGCUGUCUCUCCUCCCAGAUCUGUCUCCUUUUAUUUUCCUGGUCUUUCUUGUGAUUUCCCUCUUUGUCUUUUGCAGGGUCCUCAUUCCCAAAUUUCUCUCCUAUUAUGUUAAGUGCACUGAUAUUGCUGUUUUUGUUUCUCCUUUGAGAAAUAUGAUGCCUGGGAAGAGGCAGCAGCUCACAUUGCACACCUAAAUAGUUCCAGCAAGGCAUUUUCCUGAAUACAAAGCUUUUUCUCCUGAGGUGGAUUCUGCUUUCCCCUAGCCUGCAAAAAGAAGGCAGUCAAGUUUCUGGCUUUAAAUGGUAACUUUUCUUUCCUCUUUUAGAUGCUUUAGAACCUAAGCAGAAACAAGUGUCUUUUAUAAAGCCACUUCACUUUGACAUCUCAGAUUCUCAGCAGGCUUGGCAACAGUGGCUUGCCCAUUCAUCUCUGGGACCACUUUUGAAGCCAACUCUGUGAAGAGCUGUAUGAACUCUAUGAGGCUCUGUAAAGAAAGGCAUCAUUAGGAAGGAGAUGUUCUUAGCAAUGGCUCUGCAAAGUUUAAACUCCAGUUUCCUCAUUCUGUAUUCAGAACAAUUGCUCUUAAAGUAUUCGCUAAGGACAAGCAUUUUCUUACUCCCAUACUCAACAACAUGGGAAAACAUGGGAAAAAACCAAGCCCUCCUAAUGAAGACCAAGCAGCUGGACCUGCAUUGCUCUAGUGUUACCUCUGUUUGGGGUUUCCUCUAUUGCUGGGAGGCCAGACACUUAGUUGAUUAACUUUGUACUUAAUGAAUAGGGUUGUCAUUUUUCCAGCUGUUUCUAGGAGAAACUGAAACAGGAUUGGAGAUUUUGAAAAUUUGUCACCUCCCCCCACCACCAAAAAAAUCCCAAUAAACUUGUCUGUGGCCUCUUUUUAUCAUUUCCAUCCUUUCUUUUGUGAAGUCCAAGGGAUAUGAAGCAGAUGGAAAAGAGGAUAGGCACAGAGAACGUGUGCACAGAUAUAAUAUGGGUAAAUUCUACUAACCAAACAAGCAAAAACCAAGCUUUAAUUAAUUCAGUUACAUUUAGAUCUAGUGCUUUUUUACUGAAACAGAGCCACUGAGAAAAUAUGACAUGAUAACACUUAGUAAAACCUCUGAACACAUGAAAGUCCUUAAAACAGGAUUAGCAAUGGAUAAUACUACCUUACAUUUAUAUAACACUUGGCAUAUUUCAAAAAUGUUUCAUGACCAGUGAAAGACUGAAUGUCACAUUAUUUGGGAAAAGAAAAAAGGGAGGAUGUUUCUAUUACAAUUUAUGGAUAAAGAAGUAGUUUUGGGGUCCAAGGUCAUAUGAUAACUUAAAUAAGAAGACCCUCUCUGUGGCAAUUAGCAUUAUUUUAAAAAUUGUCAACAGAUACUAGAGAGCUUUUUUUUGAAUUAAUCUAUCUUACAUUCUAUCCCGAUAAAUAAGGAAAAACAAAUCAUUUGAAGAAGAGAAAAAAAAUUUCUGUUUCCCUUGAAAUGCAUUAAGUGUAACUGUAGUCAUGAGAAUCUGAAGAUGCAAAAUCUGAAAUUAGCCAAUAUUAGAAACUCUGAGUACAAACUUAAAUUGAUAAGACUUAAACAGUGAAAUACACUUUUUGUGUACUUUUAGAUUAGUAUGCCAAUUUUGAUCUGCAUCAAAUGAUCGACAUUUAUGUUGCAUUUACACAUACAUUUACAAACACUAUUCUAUUUAAUCUCAUUUUUUUUUUGUAACUGACAAAUUUGCUUUUAUGGAAAGAGACUUCUGGAAGACAAAAAAAAAAAAAAA